RNAcentral lists this ribosomal RNA (372 nucleotides) under uncultured eukaryote. Its description in RNAcentral is "partial 18S ribosomal RNA". It matches the Rfam family "Eukaryotic small subunit ribosomal RNA", at positions 592 to 975 of the family's 1831-position model. The record is from RNAcentral.
CAAUAGCGUAUAUUAAAGUUGUUGCGGUUAAAAAGCUCGUAGUUGAAUUUUUGCUUGCCGCCGAUGUCGGAACUUCCGUACGUUCGGCGGCGUGCAUCCUUGGGUGGAACCUGUGUGGCAUUAGGUUGUCGUGCAGGGGAUGCUCAUCGUUUACUGUGAAAAAAUUAGAGUGUUCAAAGCAGGCUUACGCCGUUGAAUAUAUUAGCAUGGAAUAAUAAGAUAGGACCUUGGUACUAUUUUGUUGGUUUGCGCACCGAGGUAAUGAUUAACAGGGACAGUUGGGGGUAUUCGUAUUCCAUUGUCAGAGGUGAAAUUCUUGGAUUUCUGGAAGACGAACUACUGCGAAAGCAUUUACCAAGGAUGUUUNCAUUA